UACGUAGGGUGCAAGCGUUGUUCGGAAUUAUUGGGCGUGAAGAGCUCGUAGGCGGUUUGUCGCGUCUGCUGUGAAAACCCGAGGCUCAACCUCGGGCCUGCAGUGGGUACGGGCAGACUAGAGUGCGGUAGGGGAGAUUGGAAUUCCUGGUGUAGCGGUGGAAUGCGCAGAUAUCAGGAGGAACACCAAUGGCGAAGGCAGAUCUCUGGGCCGUAACUGACGCUGAGGAGCGAAAGCAUGGGGAGCGAACAGG
RNAcentral lists this ribosomal RNA (253 nucleotides) under uncultured bacterium. Its description in RNAcentral is "partial 16S ribosomal RNA". It matches the Rfam family "Bacterial small subunit ribosomal RNA", at positions 524 to 776 of the family's 1533-position model. The record is from RNAcentral.